Molecule: ribosomal RNA, 19 nt
Filed under: Urtica triangularis subsp. pinnatifida
Lineage: Eukaryota; Viridiplantae; Streptophyta; Magnoliopsida; Rosales; Urticaceae
Description: partial 28S ribosomal RNA
Source: RNAcentral
GCUCCCGUGUUGCGAAGGA